This 550-nucleotide ribosomal RNA is filed under the name uncultured bacterium. Its description in RNAcentral is "bacterial SSU rRNA". It matches the Rfam family "Bacterial small subunit ribosomal RNA", at positions 355 to 896 of the family's 1533-position model. The record is from RNAcentral.
UGGGGAAUAUUGGACAAUGGGCGCAAGCCUGAUCCAGCCAUACCGCGUGGGUGAAGAAGGCCUUCGGGUUGUAAAGCCCUUUUGUUGGGAAAGAAAUCCAGCUGGUUAAUACCCGGUUGGGAUGACGGUACCCAAAGAAUAAGCACCGGCUAACUUCGUGCCAGCAGCCGCGGUAAUACGAAGGGUGCAAGCGUUACUCGGAAUUACUGGGCGUAAAGCGUGCGUAGGUGGUUGUUUAAGUCUGUUGUGAAAGCCCUGGGCUCAACCUGGGAACUGCAGUGGAAACUGGACGACUAGAGUGUGGUAGAGGGUAGCGGAAUUCCUGGUGUAGCAGUGAAAUGCGUAGAGAUCAGGAGGAACAUCCAUGGCGAAGGCAGCUACCUGGACCAACACUGACACUGAGGCACGAAAGCGUGGGGAGCAAACAGGAUUAGAUACCCUGGUAGUCCACGCCCUAAACGAUGCGAACUGGAUGUUGGGUGCAAUUUGGCACGCAGUAUCGAAGCUAACGCGUUAAGUUCGCCGCCUGGGGAGUACGGUCGCAAGACUG